This 4310-nucleotide long non-coding RNA is filed under the name Canis lupus familiaris (dog). RNAcentral describes it as "lncRNA (ENSCAFG00000050794.1)". The record is from RNAcentral. Lineage: Eukaryota; Metazoa; Chordata; Mammalia; Carnivora; Canidae.
GGAUCAGAGACCUCAACAUGGUUACGACUCAGUUUUUCCCAAAUUAGAUUCUACACAAUCUAGAUUCAACACAAUCCCAAUCAAGGUUGCAGCAGGCAUUUUUAUAGAAAUUGACAAUGUAAAUUCCAAAAUUUGCAAGGAAAUGCAAAGACCUAGAAUAGCCAAGAAUCUUAAAUAAGAAGCACAAAAUUGGAAAGCUCACACUACAUUGCUACCAAGAAUCUCUAUAAAGCCAGAGGAGUUGAGAUAGUGUGGAACUGACAUAAAGAUAGACAAAUCCAAGGUGCCACAGAGUUAGGAAACAGAAUAAGUUUCCCUAAACAGCAGGUUAGCUGUCUUCAGAUAAUAUGCUCAAUAUGUUUCCAGGUGAAGUGCCUCUAAGUUUGAAGCAAUGGCUCUGAUUGUCAAUCUGAUAAAAGCUCAAUAAUUAUGUAUCCAACUCUAAAAACAGAGAAGAUAGCAUAUUCAUUGUACUUUUUUGAGAUUGAUAAUUGGAUCUACCACUUUAAAUUUAGCAAUUCUUCAUUUGGAAAAGGACUAUCUGAAAAUUGAAGAAAAAUAUUGCACAUGCCAUGUGUAAAUGUAACUAACAUGCAGUUUAAAGACAAGUUUAAGGUACCUGGGUGGCUCAUUCGGUUGAGCAUCUGCCUUCACCUCAGGUCAUGAUCUCAGGAUCCUGGGAUCGAGCCCCACAUCAGGCUCCCUGAUCAGUGACGAGUCUGUUUCUCCUUCUGCCCCUCCCCCCACUCAUGUUUUCAAUCUCUCUCUCUCUCAAAUAAAUAUUAAAAAAAAAAUAAUAAAGCUAAGUUUGGCACUACCUUAGCCAGGUAGUUAAGGCCAAUGUCAUAGGGAUAGAUGCUGUUAACACCCUUGACAUGAUGUGAUAAGAAUGGCACUUUACCCCUUGUAGGCUUCCUCUAAAAACCCAUAUGCUCAAUCUGACCAUGAGAAAAAACAUCAGACAAACCCAAAUUGAGGGACAUUCUACAAAUCCUAAACAAGGAGAGUCUGAGAAACUCUCACAUCUAUGAGAUGCCUAAGGAGACACGAUGACUAAGUGUAAUGUGGUACCCUAGAUGAGAUCUUGGGACAGAAAAAGGACAUUAGGUAGAAACUAAUAAAUAUUAAUAAAGUGUGGACUUUAUUUAAUGAUGUGUCAAUGAUGUUCAUUAAUUGUGACAAAUGUACCAUACUAAUGUGAGGUGUUCAUAAUAAGGGAUACUGGGUGCAGGAUAUGUAGGAACUCUCUGUAGUGCCUUUGCAUUUUCUGUAAAUGCAAAAUAAUUCUAAAAAGUAAAGUUUAUUUCAAAAAAAUAUUUAUCCUGUAUAUCUGCAUGCUGCCGAGACCCUGUAGAUAGAUGGACCUGAAUAAAGAUUCUGUAAAUAUAUAUAUAGGAUCACAGGAGACAUCUGACAAAAAUGCCAAUGCAAUUCAACAGGGAAAGAAAUGUCUUUUCAAUAAAUGACCCUGAAGUAACUGAAUGUCCAGAUUGGAGCAAGGAAAAAAAAAAAAAGAUCCUUGACCAUUGUUUUACAUCAGACAUAAAAUUUAAUUUGCGAUGGACUAUAGAUCUAAAUGUAAAAGCUAAAAUAAUAAAGCUUUUAGAAGGAAACAGGAGAAUUCUUCAUGACACUGAGGUGGCAGAGAUUUCUGAGGACACAAAAUCACUAACCAUGAAAUUAAAAAUUUAUAAACUGGACUUUAUCUGUUCACCAAGAGAUACCAUCAAGAAAGUGCAAAGGCCAGCCACAGACUGGGAGAAAAUGUUCACAAAUUGAUCUCUAGAUCUGGCAAAGUUCCGUGGGCAGAAGAGAGAAACCUCUACAAACCAGUACAAGGAAGACAAAUGGCCCAAUUUUUAAAGAAAAAAGAAAGAAAAAUAAUGGGCAAAAAACUUGGACAUCUCACUGAAGAAGCUAUCUUGGUGGUCAAUAAGCACAUGAAAAGAUACUCAGUGUCAUCAAUCAUGAGGGAAAUGCAAAUUCAAAUCCCAGUGAGAUCCCACAACACACCCGCUAGAAUGACUGAAAGUUAGAAACCAAUACCAAGUGUUGGCAAGAAUGUGGAACCGCGGGAACUCUCACAUGCUCCUGGUGCAAAUGUAAAAUUGUGCGGUCACUUUGGAAAACAGUUGGCAGUUUUUGAUAAACUAAGCAUAUGGCCACCCUAUAAUAUAGCAAUUAUACUCCUACCUGGGUAUAAACACCCAAGAGAAUGAGCACUUAUUUCCACCAAAAGACUUGGGUCUAACUUACACUGGUGAUGUUAAUUUUGACCCCUAGGGAAGGUAGUGUCUGCCAACCGCCCCCAGUUAUAAAGUUACCAUUCUUCUUUGUAGUUAAUAAAUAUAUUGAAGGAGAUACUUUAUGCAGAUAUCCUGAGUCUUCUCAAACUUUUGCAUAUUAAUUUCAACAUCCAUCAAUGGAUCUUGCCUGCAAAAAUUAUUACUAUGGGGUACUGAUGUGAUUUUCUAUUUCCUAUAUUCCUUUUACCUUUAUGAAUUGGAGUUGUUCUGUAAGGGAGAUCUGUCCCCCUCCCCAACUGCCCAUUGAUUUAUCCGGUUAAUGAUUUGUAUCCUUAUGGACUCAAGAAGUUUCUUCUGUAGGUUACAGUCUAUCAUUACCGACUUUGUGACUUAAAUAGUUCCAAGGAUCUUCUCUGCUAGUCUCUCUUUCCUCAGCCUCUCAUCACGAUUGUGUUAUUAUUUCUUGAGUGUUUAGUUCCUAGAUGCAGAUGCUUAUACUUCAAAUUUGGGGAAAUGUAAAAGGUUUUGAAAGGUUCCAAAUAGUUUGUGUUCCAGAAAAUCCAAGAAACCCAGAACUGGAGGAGUUCUCAUAAAUGAACAUUACUGAGUAUCCUUCCUGUUCCACUUCACACCUUUCCACCCUCCUCUGUACCCGGGGCUCCCCCAUACGGAUGACAUCAUGGGCCCCCUGCCUCACCCUUCUGGGUGGUGUAUCCAAUAGGCGACACCAGCGGGACAGGAUGGGCAGAGAGUGAGGUGAGGUAUUUAUUCCCUUGACUCCCCUCUUAAAAGGUUUCUUCAGGCUGGCUGCAUCCUUCCACCAAAUGCCCCCUACCCUAUAGGACACACUCCUUCCAGAUUUGGGAAACUAUUUCCUUCUGAUCCCUUCACUCUCAGGGGGGUUAACAGCUCGUCUGAUACUAACCCUAGGUAACCACACCAUCCCUCCUGGUUCCCCUAAACCCCACCCACACCUUUCUGUCGAAGUCCUGUCUCCUGUUGGGACUUUGACUAAUAGAUCUCAUAAAUGUCUAAUGCACUUAGAAUAUGUGGUUGUCCAGAGUGAAGAUUCUAUAGUAUCCCUCCAUUAUUCACUCUGGGGGUUAAUCACAUCAGCAGUUAUCUUCUCACCUCCAUACAGAAUCUUCUCUGCCUUCACUUAAGCUCCAUGUUCUCUUCCCUGGUUCUGUGUGAUCAUGAAAAAAAAUUUUUUUUGCUCAAAAUCCUACGCAAUUGAGAGGAAUAGGUGCCGCCUCUUAAACUUGUCUACUGUUCCUUUAACCAGACCUCACAGGAAAGAUUUUCUCCCCUUUCUUUUGUGCUUUUGGGCCCUAAUUUCUCCACAUCAUGAAAUAAAAGGAUGGCUCAAAAAUGAGGGUAGGGGGUACAGCCAUGUUCCUCGCAGCACUACUGGUGGUAGUCAAAAGGUGGAAGCCACUCAGUGCAUGGACAGAUGACCGGAUAAAUAAAAAGUGGUAUAAACACACAAUGGAAGGUUAUUCAGUCUUUUUUUUUAAAGAUUUAUUUAUUUUAUUUAUUUAUGAUAGACAGAGAGAGAGAGAGGCAGAGACACAGGAGGAGGGAGAAGCAGGCUCCACUCCGGGAGCCCGACACGGGACUCGAUCCCGGGACUCCAGAGUCACGCCCUGGGCCAAAGGCAGGCACUAAACCGCUGAGCCACCCAGGGAUCCCCAAGAUUAUUCAGUCUUAAAAAGGAAGAAAAUCCCCAUACAUGCUAUGAUGUGAUAAAUCUUAAGGACGUUAUGCUAAAAGUGAAAUCAGCUUGCCACAAAAGGACAACAGUAGUUGUCCUGUAUGAUUCCACCUGUGUGACAAAUGUAGAAUAGUCAAAUCCAUAGAGACAGAGAGAGUGGUGAUGGCAAAGUCUAGGGGAGAGGGAAUGGGGAGUCAGUGAAGGAUGGACACAGAGUUGCAGUUUUGCAAGAAGAAAAGAGUCCCUCAGAUGGUGGUGAUGGUUGCACAAGAGCAAUGCACUUAACGCUGUUGAACUGUCCACUUAAAAGUGAUACAUUUUAUGUAAUGUGUAUUUCACCACAGUUGUUU